Molecule: ribosomal RNA, 465 nt
Filed under: uncultured ammonia-oxidizing beta proteobacterium
Lineage: Bacteria; Pseudomonadati; Pseudomonadota; Betaproteobacteria
Description: bacterial SSU rRNA
Rfam family: Bacterial small subunit ribosomal RNA
Source: RNAcentral
GGAGGAAAGCAGGGGAUCGUAAGACCUAGCGUUGAUGGAGCGGCCGAUAUCUGAUUAGUUAGUUGGUGGGGUAAGAGCCUACCAAGGCGACGAUCAGUAGCUGGUCUGAGAGGACGACCAGCCACACUGGAACUGAGACACGGUCCAGACUCCUACGGGAGGAAGCAGUGGGGAAUUUUGGACAAUGGGGGCAACCCUGAUCCAGCCAUUCCGCGUGAGUGAAGAAGGCCUUCGGGUUGUAAAGCUCUUUCGCAAGGGAAGAAAACUCGAUCUCUAAUAUAGGUUGAGGCUGACGGUACCUUGAUAAGAAGCACCGGCUAACUACGUGCCAGCGGCCGCGGUAAUACGUAGGGUGCGAGCGUUAAUCGGAAUUACUGGGCGUAAAGCGUGCGCAGGCGGAUUUGAAAGUCAGAUGUGAAAUCCCCGGGCUCAACCUGGGAACUGCGUUUGAAACUACAAAGCUAG